Molecule: ribosomal RNA, 403 nt
Filed under: uncultured bacterium
Lineage: Bacteria
Description: partial 16S ribosomal RNA
Rfam family: Bacterial small subunit ribosomal RNA
Source: RNAcentral
GACGAACGCUGGCGGCGUGCCUAAUACAUGCAAGUCGAACGCAGUGGGGACGGGUGAGUAACACGUGGGUAACCUCCCAUCAGAGGGGAUAACACUUGGAAACAGGUGCUAAACCGAUACUGAUGGAUGGACCCGCGGUGCAUUAACUAGUUGGUGAGGUAACAGCUCACCAAGGCCACGAUGCAUAGCCGACCUGAGAGGGUGGACUGCAACACGAGGACUAGGAAACCGCCCAGAAUCCUACGGGAGGCACGAGGAGGGAAGCAUCGGCAAUGGACGAAAAUAUGACCGGGCAACGCCGCGUGAGUGAAGAAGGUUUUCGGAUCGAAAAACUCUAUUGUUAGAGAAGCGGUAUCUAACCAGAAAGCCGCGGCUAACUACGUGCCAGCAGCAGCGGUAAUAC